This 440-nucleotide ribosomal RNA is filed under the name uncultured bacterium. Its description in RNAcentral is "bacterial SSU rRNA". It matches the Rfam family "Bacterial small subunit ribosomal RNA", at positions 339 to 796 of the family's 1533-position model. The record is from RNAcentral.
CUACGGGAGGCAGCAGUGGGGAAUAUUGGACAAUGGGCGCAAGCCUGAUCCAGCAAUGCCGCGUGGAUGAAGAAGGUCUUCGGAUUGUAAAGUCCUUUCGGCGGGGACGAUGAUGACGGUACCCGCAGAAGAAGCCCCGGCUAACUUCGUGCCAGCAGCCGCGGUAAUACGAAGGGGGCUAGCGUUGCUCGGAAUUACUGGGCGUAAAGGGCGCGUAGGCGGAGAUCUCAGUCAGGCGUGAAAGCCCCGGGCUCAACCUGGGAACUGCGCUUGAGACGGGGUUUCUUGAGGGCGAGAGAGGGUGGUGGAAUUCCCAGUGUAGAGGUGAAAUUCGUAGAUAUUGGGAAGAACACCGGUGGCGAAGGCGGCCACCUGGCUCGCAUCUGACGCUGAGGCGCGAAAGCGUGGGGAGCAAACAGGAUUAGAUACCCUUGUAGUCC